UCAUCUGCUGUCAGCUAUAUGGUUCCUUCAAAAAUUAUAUAAGAAAUAUACUUUGUUUUCUCUUCUUAGUUUAAGCUGUCAGACUUCAUUCUAUAUCACAGUUUUAUUCAAAGAGAAGUCACAAACAUUCAUAUGUUUACUACCCAAGUUUCACUUCCUUCCCAAACCCGAACCAAUACCGCUCUGAAUGCCCAUUCAAUCGACAUCAUCUAGCUCAACAAAGAUUUUACGAAACAAGACUACAAGCAAAAAAUCAACGACAGUCUCGCAUCAAACUAUUAUCCCGAUCAAAUAUAUCAAGGUAUGUAUAUAAUUCAGCCAAAGAAAAGGUUAACUCCCCUUUCUCAGUCUAUAAAGCUUUGCUACCUCUCUUGCUCUAUUGCUACUUUUUUGAAGGAUCUAUGUCUCUCUGAGACGUUCAUAAAAUUUUCUGAUUAUUCUCACGUAUACUUUUCUAUAUUUUUGAUUGUUUUUUUUUUUUUCAUUAAGCUAGAAAGCUGAUAGUUUGGACGAUUAUAAUCAAGAAGUAACAAAAUUCUAUAAUUUUUAUUCCUUGUUUCCGCAAUUAUUUCCAAAUUUUGUGUAUGUUUUGUUUCAUUUCUUUACAGUGUAUAAGUUUUAUUGUAUGAAAUCAAAUUAUUACAUACGCUAGGGUAGAAAUGAAAAAGGAGAAGAUUAUGUGUUACGAAAAAAAAAAUUAUACAUCUUAAGAGAUAAGAACGAGAAAUCGAUGGCAAUAAUACAUAUAAUAUAAUAUAGAAUGGUUAAAAGAAUAAAUUUAAUUGAGACCGAAAAUUAUCACAUUAAUAUUUUAUAAUGAAACGUUACUGACAAAGUAGUAUAGCUUUGGGUAUUCCAAAGUAAAAGUCUAUCUUUCGUUUAAUUUCUUUAUUAUCUCUUGCAACGGUUCUAAUAUAAUAUGGUUGAACUAAUUAUUAUACAACAAUCAGAUACUCUCUCCAAGGUAGUGAGAUUCAAUUUUGUAUUUAAAUUCCUCUUUAUCCAUAAAUAUAUAUAUAAAAGAAAACUUUAAAUUAGUGAAUAAAAUUUACUAAUUAUAAUUUCAACAGAAAUAUUAAAUUUUAUAAGAUUCAUCUUUAUUUGAAAAAACUCUCUCUUGAGAGAAAAUAAAAUAGUUUAUUGUAUUUAUUUCGGGUCUUACACCUCCCCCUUUAGGUUUGCUUUCGUUUUUCCUUUUCUUGUAAUGAAUCUCUUUUUUAUGUGACAUUCCAUUUUCAUUUUCCAUUCUUUCUAUAUUCUCCAUUUUCGUUUCUCUCAUUAGUUGUUGUUUCAUUUUAUUGUUUUGGGUUCCAAUUCCAAUUUCGCAUUUCAAUCCAUUUACGUUUUUGUAUUCCAGUUCUACACUUUAAGUUUCUUUUCCCUUAAUUUGGUUUUCCCUAAUUUCGUUUGCAAGUUCUAUUAUGUUUUUGUUUUGUUCAUUUUCGUAGCAGAUUUAAUGUUGAAUUGCUUUUCGUUUUAUUGUUGUGAUUUCAUGUUAAUGUUAGGUUAGGUGUGCUUGGUUGGAAAUUAGCAAAAUUACAUCAUUCUUUGAGAUUUCUGGAUUGUAAUUGUGUUUCUAUUGCUCUCGCUUGACAUGCUACUAAAUCUGGUUGUGUUGUUAGAAUGGGUAUAUGCUUAGUUACCCUAUUAGUGAUUAAUCAAUCUAUAUGGAAUACAUUAGAUGGAAUUGGUGUGUUGCGUUCGCUUAGUUCAUAAUUAUGAAAACAUGGUUAAUCUUCGCUUAGUUGGUUAGCUUGUGUUGGAUUAGGGGUUAGAGUAGUGUGUUGUUGGUUAAUCUGUGAUUGGAAGCAUGUAAUUGAGCUAGUGAUCAACCGUUUUAAAUCUGUGUUUGAUUCUGUGGUUUAGUAGUUUAUUUCAGUUCAUAAGUCUCCUCACAAACCCCUCAUUCCCUCCACCAAGUGCUUGACCUAACUCCUGAACUACAUUCGGUCCUUGAGAGACGACCUAGGAGUCACUUCCUAGUAUUAUACUACACUUAAUUAAGCCAUAAAUUUGAUUCGAGUACGACCUCGAUCAAAUUUUGUCGCCGUUGUUUUUUAUUUUUCUUUGUAGUUUUUGUUUUCUUUGUAAGUUUUUUAUUUUCUAGGUCAUUUUUGUUGUGUCUUGUGUAUAGCUUUGCAUAUUUCUCUUGCUUUUUGGAGUUUUUUUAGGUUGUAGACUCAUCCUUCACUUCACUUGAUUGAUACUGAUUAGUUUGAAAUCCUUGUAUUUCUCUAACUACAAGAUGAUUAUGACGUUUGAGAGGCUGAUUUAAUUGUGACAAAAAUACCCUGUGUGAGAAUGAGUCACUUCAUGUUCUUUCUUGUGUGUUUUAUAUCUCUUGAUUGCUUGCACGGAUGCCUUGGCUUGACUCUUUUUGAUGAUUCUUGAUUCAUAUGCAUGUUUGGAAGUGAUAAAGGAAAUUUUGUUCUUGAGUCUCUCUAGCCAAAUAAGCUUAUCUUGUUUUGAUCAUUUGAUAACCUUUGUUGAGCCUAUGCUUUCUCCUAUUCUUUGUUUUCAAGCUCAUUAAUUAUCCUUAAGUGAAAAACCAUGGUUACCUUUGUUAGAAAACAAUCGGUACCGGUUUUGCACAAGGGAAAUAAAACUCAGAGUUCGGUCAAUUUUAAAAAUGGUUCCUUUAAUUUUCUUACAAACGUUUUAUCAAACAGUUGAUGUGCAGAAAAUGUAAAGAGUGUAGGAAGUAGAAAAAUUCACACAAAGGACAUUUAUAUUGGUUCGAAUCAAAAGAUUCUAUAUCCACUUGUUAGUUACUAUAAAGAGUGAUUAACAGUUUCACUAAAAUCAGUUUUACAAAUUACAGAAUAGUGAAUGUAAAUAGAAAGAUAAAACCUUCCUUCGACGAACAAACCAAAAGGGAACUUGCUUCGACAAGCGAACCAGAAGCAGACAGUGAGCACUUUCCUUCAACAGACAAACCGGAAGAGUGCAGCAUGAACCAUCCUUCAACAAACGAAUCGGAAGCAACAACUUUGCCAACUUGAAGAGAAUCACUCCGACCUUUGACACACAAAGCGCGAGCUUCUCCUAUUCACAAAACUUGACAAAAGCAAGAACUAGCACUUGAGAACUUCCUCAGUUUUCACUGUAUUCUCAAAUUUGCAAAGUUUUUUUUUUCUAAAGUGUUUGGCAAAGGUAUAUAUAGCCUACUGGUCUGAAACUGAAGAGACACAUUACAACUGCCAAUGAUAAUCGAUUAUUGUAAGUGAUAAUCGAUUAUCUGCGAGACUUGGAAUAGUUUGAAUAUUAACAUUUCAAACCAGUUGGCUUUAGUUCUUAAUAUCCUUCUACUGUUUGGUUUGAACACUGAUUGCCUUCUACCGUUCGGCUCGUCUCCUUACAGCAUUUCAGCGUUCGGUGCUAAUUGCUUGGUCUCGGUCAUGCUCUCCACCGCUCUGCUCAAUACUUGUAAACUUUCCAACUCUUAACAUUUUCUUCUGCAGUGUUAGUUGGACACAAUAUUAUUCGGUUUGUGUUUGACAUCAUUCGAUCUUCAAUUGUUAUGCAUCAUUCAGCCUUUUGGUAGUGUUCAGCCUUCAACUGUGUUCAACAUCGUUUGGUCCUUAACUUGAGUUUGGCCAAUGUUCAACUUUGUUUGGUCUUGUGAGUGUCCGUUCAGUCUUGAACUGUGUUCAUGUUGUGUUCAACCUUGAACUGAUAUACACUAUCCAAUCUUCAACUAUUACAUAUUGUUCAAUCUUUCACUAAUAGUGAUCGUUCGGUCUUUAAGUUGUGUUCGGCCAUCAUAUUGUGUUCGGCCAUGAACAGUGUUCGGUCUUCAUCUGCGUUCGGUCGUUGAUUGAUAGUGACCGUUCAACCUUUUAGUUAUGUUCGACCAUUAAUAGUGUUCGGCUUUCAACUGUUGUAUGUCAUUCAGUCUUGUGUUCUACCUUAAAAUUAUAAUGACAGUUCGUUCAUGAACUGCGUUUAGCCUGAUCCUUCUUUUGACCAUUCGGUCUUCAGUCUUUAUUCAACGUUAUGGGCUCUUGAUCUCUUUCCUUGCGGACCAACAUACAAGAAUGCUUUUAAACUUGAAGCAACAAGGGUCUUCAUAUUCUUCACUUGUAACAUCAUCAAAAUUCUUAUCUUUAAGUCACCAAUGCUCCUCAUUGGUAACAACCUUAACCUCAGGGAAUUUUGGAGCUUUGGAAUUGUUUUGGGGAAAAAUGUGGUCUUCUUGGGGAUUCUUAUGAAUAGGCUAUUUGGUUCCUAUUCUUGUUUUGCUUUUGUAAAUAUGUUGUGCAUCUUGUGUCCUAAAAAAAAGAGAGAAAAGAAAAGAGACAAGACAAGAAAAGAUAGAAAAAAAUCACAAAAAUAGAAAAAAUCAGAAAAAUAAAAAAAAUUAUGAAUAAAGGAGUCAAGAAGUGGAUUGAAUUAGAAGUUUUGGGUGUAAUUUGGUUGUGUUUUCACUUGUUCCGCAUUGCUCCUUUAUUUCUUUUGGUUUGUAGCCUCUCAUCCAUACAUUAUCCUCUCUUGUCAUUGGCCCCAUUACAGCCAUAAAAGUACUUUUGAUUUGAACAUGCAUAUGUUUUGAGUGUUGAUAUUAGAGGUUUGCUAAGUUUGUUUGUUGUUUGCUUUAUUGAGUGCAUUGAGAUGACAUUUUUUACCCUAGACACUUGAGAGAUACAGUGACAGUGCAUUUGUGAGGUUCUGUUGCUUUUGAUUCACCUCUUGAGCUGAUUGAUUAUUUUGCCAUGCUUUAAAUUGCUUGGAUAUCUUCCAUGAGUAUUUACUUUCUUUGACUAUCUGUGUGUUGGAUGUUGUCUACUCCUUUUCUCUUUCCAGUUUUCAUUGAGAAUUGUGUAAAUUUGUUUGAUGUCUUGUAUGUCCUUUUGUUUCUAUGUCUGGAUGUUGUGUCAUGCUCUUGAUGUCUUUUGAAUUGUUCUUUAUUCUGCGUCUUAAUUUUGCCAAGGAGUGCAAAAGACUAAGUGUGGUCUAUUUUGAUGAAUCAUUAUUUUGUACUACUCACUUAACUUUUCAAACCAAAUUGUGUUAAUGAAUUAUGUUUAAUUCUCCAUUAUUGUCUCAUUUUCACUAUUUGGGCUUAAUUAAACUAUUAAUUCUUAUUUUAACUAAUUUGAAUUGUUUGAACUUAAUUACUCCAAUUAUUAUUUGCAGGUCAAUUUUAGAAACAUAUUUUUGGACUUCAAAAGCGUGGUCACAUCAACAUUAUAAUUUAAUUUCAUUUUGAAUUCAUUUAUAAUGUAAUUGGGUCAAACUUUAUGACUUUGGGCUCAAUUUUAAGUCAUAUUUAUUUUGUAGAAGCCUAUAUAGGAAGGGCAUUUUCAUAAUUAGGGUUUAUAAAACCCUAAAUCAGAUUUGAAACCCCUCUCCUUCCCUCAUUUUACAUUUUUCCCCCUAAGGUUUUAGCUAUUGGGACGUUUUCCACCACCCCCCUUUGGGGGUUUUAGGUUUGCUUUUGUUUUCCUUUUUCUUGUAAUGAAUCUUAUUUUUAUGUGUAAUUCCAUUUUCGUUUUCCAUUCUUGCUUUAUUCUCCAUUUUUGUUUCUCUCAUUGCUUGUUGUUUCGUUUUAUUGUUUUGGGUUCCAUUUCCAAUUUCGUAUUUCAAUCCAUUUACGUUUUUGUAUUCCAGUUCUACACUUUAAGUUUCGUUUUCCCCCAAUUUGGUUUUCCCUAAUUUUUUUGCAAGUUCUAUUGCGUUUUUGUUUUGUGUAUUUUCGUA
RNAcentral lists this long non-coding RNA (5700 nucleotides) under Vigna radiata. RNAcentral's name for it is "long non-coding RNA (VRAD_LNC010348)". The record is from RNAcentral. Lineage: Eukaryota; Viridiplantae; Streptophyta; Magnoliopsida; Fabales; Fabaceae.